UACAGAGGUCUCAAGCGUUGUUCGGAUUCAUUGGGCGUAAAGGGUGCGUAGGCGGCGCGGUAAGUCGGGUGUGAAAUCUCGGAGCUUAACUCCGAAACUGCAUUCGAUACUGCCGUGCUUGAGGACUGGAGAGGAGACUGGAAUUUACGGUGUAGCGGUGAAAUGCGUAGAUAUCGUAAGGAAGACCAGUGGCGAAGGCGGGUCUCUGGACCGUUCCUGACGCUGAGGCACGAAGGUCAGGGGAGCAAACGGG
RNAcentral lists this ribosomal RNA (253 nucleotides) under uncultured bacterium. RNAcentral's name for it is "partial 16S ribosomal RNA". It matches the Rfam family "Bacterial small subunit ribosomal RNA", at positions 524 to 776 of the family's 1533-position model. The record is from RNAcentral.